Rattus norvegicus (Norway rat) is the source of this 69-nucleotide non-coding RNA. The record is from Rfam. Lineage: Eukaryota; Metazoa; Chordata; Mammalia; Rodentia; Muridae.
GGGGAUUUGGCUCAGUGGUAGAGCGCUUGUCUAGGAAGAGCAAGGUCCUGGGUUCGGUCCCCAGCCCCG